This 829-nucleotide long non-coding RNA is filed under the name Rattus norvegicus (Norway rat). Its description in RNAcentral is "long non-coding RNA NONRATT020172". The record is from RNAcentral. Lineage: Eukaryota; Metazoa; Chordata; Mammalia; Rodentia; Muridae.
AGAAAGUGAAUUGGUAACAUUUUUUCCUCCCACUGAUGUCCCUUUUCUCCUUCUUCCCACCCCACAAUCCCCAAGCUAUGUAACCAUUUGUUGUUAUUGUUGUUGUUGUUGGCAUUACAGAACUUUUGAACAUUUAAUGUGGUGUCAAGUCAUAAGUUUCUCUCUUACAGAAUGUUUGACGUGGGAGGCCAGAGAUCAGAGCGGAAGAAGUGGAUUCACUGCUUUGAAGGCGUGACUGCCAUCAUCUUCUGUGUGGCCCUGAGUGACUAUGACCUGGUUCUUGCUGAGGAUGAAGAAAUGGCAAGUAGAAGCAGUUGCGGGGGUGGCAUGAAGUGUCAAGAGCUGCAGACAUUGCCAAGACCUUAGCUGAGAAACCUUGAGAAGUCAGUCCUUGCUCAUGAAGGGAGUGUUUGAGAGUCCAGGUUCUUGUUCCUUGCUUCACAGAGGGUACAGAUCCUUAGAAGGCACUCGUGCCGCUUCUCCAUCUGGAUACCUGGCAAUUUCCUGUAUCUGCUCAAGGCUCAUAGUUCCCCACGAGCUACUACUCUGUCAGCCUGUAUUCUUUGUUAAGUGUUAUUCUUCUCUAGCUCUAGAAAGACAGCGUUCAAAUAACAUCCAAUAAAUGCACCGUUACUCUGGGGAAAUAUUUUCUUUAAUUACACUUAAAACUCUGGCAUUUAUGUACUUGUGGAAAUUCCGGGCAGGUUUUAGGUUUUUCUAAACCAAGUUUAGACAGUUGUUGGCCAGGGCGGAAGUGGAGCAUAACGUAUACAUUGCUUUCUUUUCCUCACUGGAAGACACACCUGUGUCCUCUUUGAACACAGAGCCC